RNAcentral lists this ribosomal RNA (491 nucleotides) under uncultured bacterium. RNAcentral's name for it is "partial 16S ribosomal RNA". It matches the Rfam family "Bacterial small subunit ribosomal RNA", at positions 29 to 506 of the family's 1533-position model. The record is from RNAcentral.
AGUGAACGCUGGCGGUAGGCCUAACACAUGCAAGUCGGACGGCAGCACAGUAAGAGCUUGCUCUUACGGGUGGCGAGUGGCGGACGGGUGAGGAAUACAUCGGAAUCUACUUUUUCGUGGGGGAUAACGUAGGGAAACUUACGCUAAUACCGCAUACGACCUACGGGUGAAAGCAGGGGAUCUUCGGACCUUGCGCGAUUGAAUGAGCCGAUGUCGGAUUAGCUAGUUGGCGGGGUAAAGGCCCACCAAGGCGACGAUCCGUAGCUGGUCUGAGAGGAUGAUCAGCCACACUGGAACUGAGACACGGUCCAGACUCCUACGGGAGGCAGCAGUGGGGAAUAUUGGACAAUGGGCGCAAGCCUGAUCCAGCCAUACCGCGUGGGUGAAGAAGGCCUUCGGGUUGUAAAGCCCUUUUGUUGGGAAAGAAAAGCAGCAGGUUAAUACCCCGCUGUUCUGACGGUACCCAAAGAAUAAGCACCGGCUAACUUCGU